RNAcentral lists this ribosomal RNA (491 nucleotides) under uncultured bacterium. RNAcentral describes it as "partial 16S ribosomal RNA". It matches the Rfam family "Bacterial small subunit ribosomal RNA", at positions 29 to 506 of the family's 1533-position model. The record is from RNAcentral.
AGUGAAUGCUGGCGGUAGGCCUAACACAUACAAGUCGAACGGCAGCACAGUAAGAGCUUGCUCUUACGGGUGGCGAGUGGCGGACGGGUGAGGAAUACAUCGGAAUCUACUUUUUCGUGGGGGAUAACGUAGGGAAACUUACGCUAAUACCGCAUACGACCUACGGGUGAAAGCAGGGGAUCUUCGGACCUUGCGCGAUUGAAUGAGCCGAUGUCGGAUUAGCUAGUUGGCGGGGUAAAGGCCCACCAAGGCGACGAUCCGUAGCUGGUCUGAGAGGAUGAUCAGCCACACUGGAACUGAGACACGGUCCAGACUCCUACGGGAGGCAGCAGUGGGGAAUAUUGGACAAUGGGCGCAAGCCUGAUCCAGCCAUACCGCGUGGGUGAAGAAGGCCUUCGGGUUGUAAAGCCCUUUUGUUGGGAAAGAAAAGCAGCAGGUUAAUACCCCGCUGUUCUGACGGUACCCAAAGAAUAAGCACCGGCUAACUUCGU